RNAcentral lists this ribosomal RNA (403 nucleotides) under uncultured bacterium. Its description in RNAcentral is "bacterial SSU rRNA". It matches the Rfam family "Bacterial small subunit ribosomal RNA", at positions 355 to 774 of the family's 1533-position model. The record is from RNAcentral.
UAGGGAAUAUUGCAAAAUGGGCGAAAGCCCGAUGCAGCAACGCCGCGUGGGCGAUGAAGGCCUUCGGGUCGUAAAGCCCUUUUUGAGGGGAUGAGGAAGGACAGUACCCUCAGAAUAAGCCUCGGCUAACUACGUGCCAGCAGCCGCGGUAAAACGUAGGAGGCGAGCGCUAUCCGGAUUUACUGGGCGUAAAGCGCGUGCAGGCGGAUUGGAGAGUUGGAUGUGAAAGCUCCCGGCUUAACUGGGAGAGGUCGUUCAAUACUUCCAGUCUUGAGUGCAGUAGAGGGAAGUGGAAUUCCGGGUGUAGUGGUGAAAUGCGUAGAUAUCCGGAGGAACACCAGUGGCGAAAGCGGCUUCCUGGACUGUAACUGACGCUCAGACGCGAAAGCUAGGGUAGCAAACG